AUCUUUGCGCUUGGGGCAAUGACGCAGUUAGUGAGGUGAAACCGAGACGCGUCAAUUGCUGGUUGAAAACUAUUUCCAAACCCCCGCCCGUGCCCUAACCGGCGCGUGCGAAUUUCUGGAAGGCGUGUUUUUCACACGC
Molecule: small nuclear RNA, 139 nt
Filed under: Marchantia polymorpha subsp. ruderalis
Lineage: Eukaryota; Viridiplantae; Streptophyta; Marchantiopsida; Marchantiales; Marchantiaceae
Description: U4 spliceosomal RNA
Rfam family: U4 spliceosomal RNA
About the family: U4 small nuclear RNA (U4 snRNA) is a component of the major U2-dependent spliceosome. The structure of U4 snRNA from yeast and human has been reported. U4 snRNA presents a k-turn RNA motif in the 5p-SL related to recognition of Snu13 protein.
Source: Rfam by way of RNAcentral